Molecule: transfer RNA, 89 nt
Filed under: Bacteroidetes/Chlorobi group bacterium MS-B_bin-24
Lineage: Bacteria; Pseudomonadati
Description: tRNA-Leu
Rfam family: tRNA
About the family: Transfer RNA (tRNA) molecules are approximately 80 nucleotides in length. Their secondary structure includes four short double-helical elements and three loops (D, anti-codon, and T loops).
Source: RNAcentral
GCAGAAGUGGCGGAACUGGCAGACGCGCUGGACUCAAAAUCCAGUGGGCUUAAAAACCCGUGCGGGUUCGACUCCCGCCUUCUGCACAA